RNAcentral lists this ribosomal RNA (462 nucleotides) under uncultured bacterium. RNAcentral describes it as "partial 16S ribosomal RNA". It matches the Rfam family "Bacterial small subunit ribosomal RNA", at positions 330 to 792 of the family's 1533-position model. The record is from RNAcentral.
GCCAGACUCCUACGGGAGGCAGCAGUGGGGAAUAUUGCACAAUGGGGGAAACCCUGAUGCAGCGACGCCGCGUGAGUGAAGAAGUAUUUCGGUACGUAAAGCUCUAUCAGCAGGGAAGAAAAAAAGUCCUUUGGACUUUGGACGGUACCUGACUAAGAAGCCCCGGCUAACUACGUGCCAGCAGCCGCGGUAAUACGUAGGGGGCAAGCGUUAUCCGGAUUUACUGGGUGUAAAGGGAGCGUAGACGGCAGCGCAAGUCUGGAGUGAAAGCCCGGGGCCCAACCCCGGGACUGCUCUGGAAACUGCGGCGCUGGAGUACGGGAGGGGCAGGCGGAAUUCCUGGUGUAGCGGUGAAAUGCGUAGAUAUCAGGAGGAACACCGGCGGCGAAGGCGGCCUGCUGGACCGUGACUGACGUUGAGGCCCGAAGGCGUGGGGAGCAAACAGGAUUAGAUACCCCAGUA